This 427-nucleotide long non-coding RNA is filed under the name Mus musculus (house mouse). RNAcentral describes it as "predicted gene 16094". Lineage: Eukaryota; Metazoa; Chordata; Mammalia; Rodentia; Muridae. The record is from RNAcentral.
UGAGAAGAGUUCUAUGUAACCCCGUCUAAUAUUUCCCAAAUGUAUUUGAUCCACAAGACACCCCAAUUCCCCACCCCCAGGAUACCCACGAGGCCUCUGGGACUUUAGAUUUGAACCAAGGCUAGCCCACACAGGACAGAGCUUCUCUGUACUUCCUAUGGAGACACCGACGGUAGAAUUUGCAGCCAAGUACAGUUAGAACAGUAGGCUUGGCCCAGAGUGUCCCAGGGAUGGGGACUGAGUGUGUGUGUGUGUGUAGUCUGCACAAGAAUCACAAGCAUGCUUAUGUGUCAGAAAAUUACCCUACCCUCGAGAAACCUCUAAAGCAAGAAAAGUUAUUACAUCAGACAGAUAUGAAUAAGGGCAAAGAUUUCAUUUGGAGUCACACAUACUAGGACUACAGUAAUGAUGGUAAAACCUCACCUGG